RNAcentral lists this ribosomal RNA (253 nucleotides) under uncultured bacterium. RNAcentral's name for it is "partial 16S ribosomal RNA". It matches the Rfam family "Bacterial small subunit ribosomal RNA", at positions 524 to 776 of the family's 1533-position model. The record is from RNAcentral.
UACGUAGGGGGCAAGCGUUGUCCGGAAUUAUUGGGCGUAAAGAGCGCGUAGGCGGUCCGAUAAGUCGGCUGUGAAAGUCAGGGGCUCAACCCUUGAAAGCCGGCCGAUACUGUCGGACUAGAGUCCGGAAGAGGCGAGUGGAAUUCCUGGUGUAGCGGUGGAAUGCGCAGAUAUCAGGAGGAACACCAACGGCGAAGGCAGCUCGCUGGGACGGUACUGACACUGAGGCGCGAAAGCGUGGGGAGCGAACAGG